UGCCUUUAAGUGUUGCCCUUUCAUUUUUUCCCAUAGUGACUGGGGUGUCAAAUAAGGCAUAAAUUGACACUUGUGGCUGUUUUGUGAAGUGAGUUUUAAGUGACUCCUUGAAUAAACAGCUGCAUGGACACAC
Sphaeramia orbicularis (orbiculate cardinalfish) is the source of this 133-nucleotide small nucleolar RNA. Ensembl annotates it as small nucleolar RNA SNORA13. Lineage: Eukaryota; Metazoa; Chordata; Actinopteri; Kurtiformes; Apogonidae. The record is from Ensembl.